CCUACGGGUUGCACCAGUGGGGAAUAUUGGACAAUGGGCAAAAGCCUGAUCCAGCAAUGCCGCGUGUGUGAAGAAGGUCUUCGGAUUGUAAAGCACUUUCGACGGGGACGAUGAUGACGGUACCCGUAGAAGAAGCCCCGGCUAACUUCGUGCCAGCAGCCGCGGUAAUACGAAGGGGGCUAGUGUUGCUCGGAAUAACUGGGCGUAAAGGGCGCGUAGGCGGUUUAUGCAGUCAGAUGUGAAAUCCCCGGCUUAACCUGGGAACUGCAUUUGAGACGCAUAGACUAGAGGUCGAGAGAGGGUUGUGGAAUUUCCAGUGUAGAGGUGAAAUUCGUAGAUAUUGGGGAGAACACCGGUGGCGAAGGCGGCAACCUGGCUCGAUACUGACGCUGAGGCGCGAGAGCGUGGGGAGCAAACAGGAUUAGAUACCCUCGUAGUC
Molecule: ribosomal RNA, 439 nt
Filed under: uncultured bacterium
Lineage: Bacteria
Description: bacterial SSU rRNA
Rfam family: Bacterial small subunit ribosomal RNA
Source: RNAcentral